Molecule: long non-coding RNA, 1111 nt
Organism: Helianthus annuus (common sunflower)
Lineage: Eukaryota; Viridiplantae; Streptophyta; Magnoliopsida; Asterales; Asteraceae
Exons: 3
Source: RefSeq, a predicted model, not a curated record
UAAAUCUAUCAUUUUCAUCAGCCGUUUCCACAAGUUUUCCUUCUCCCUCCUAUUUCCUCUCAUUCUCAAACCCUAUCCUUAAUUCUCUGCAACUUAGUCAAACAAUUAAAAGAACACUUUAUCUUUAUACACACACAUACAGCUAUCAGACCCCCUCUUUCCCUCUCAUUUUUGUCUGAACAUUAUAAUUUGUUUCCUUUGAAUCUCUUCAACUAAACCAAAAUACACACACGUAAAAUUUUGUCAACAUCUCUCUCGAUCUAUACAUCAGAGCAUUCAUCUUCAACAUUCAUCUCCACUCAUCUCACGGAUCCGGCUGCCGUUGGUCCGGUGGUUCGGUUCUUCGGGCAAGACAUCCCCCCCCUCUGCGAUGGAUGAACGAACCACCACCACCAUCGUCGGGUGGUGGUGGUGAGCGACGGCUGGCCCCAGAUAUCGAUGAGAGAGAGAGAGAGAGUGGUGGCGUAUGGCGUGCAGCGGCGGAAGACGACGGCGCCGCCACCUGCGGCGGCGGUGAGAGGAGGCGGUGAAGAUAAUGAUGACCGAUGAGAAGAAGAUGAUGAAAAACAACGAAGCUGAGCAACGAUGAUGUCGAUGAUGACUAACGACAGUAGCCGUUAGUUUUCGUUGUGGAGUCCUUUUGGGUGUCGAGAAACAGAUCCGAUGGCAACUGUGGCGGUGGUGUUUUUGUUCAAGUUGUUUAUGCUCGGGUUGAUUCAGUUACAAUUCAACGUACGGUUCAAAACGAGUCCACUCGAGUCAACUCGGGUCAACUGGUCAACGGUUUGGUCAAAGAUGGUCAGAACCAGUCAACACGAGUCAAAGCUCAGGUCAAUAGUUAAAUUUGGUCAAGCGGUCAAAGGCAGUCAAUGGUUCGGUCAACUGGUUUCAGUUCGGGUCAACGCCAGUCAAAGACUCGGUCAAACCCGAGUCAACUCGGGUCAACAACGGUCAACUCGAAGAACCGGAAUGCUUUAGUUGCACGCUAGCGAGGUCACGUUCUUGGAACGGCACUACGGAAACACGCUAGGCUAGCUUUGCACCGGAAUGUCAACGUGAGUUCAUAACCCCCACUUUUUACUGAUUUACAUUUUUUUUAUAAAUGUUUUCG